Molecule: non-coding RNA, 93 nt
Organism: Mycobacterium sp. 1100029.7
Lineage: Bacteria; Bacillati; Actinomycetota; Actinomycetes; Mycobacteriales; Mycobacteriaceae
Source: Rfam
AAGCGGCCGUUCAAAGUGCCGGCAGCGGGGAAGGAGCCGGCCGCGUCGGACCGUGUCAGACGCCCCCAGAGCCGCCCGGGCCUGCCCACAUAU